Molecule: ribosomal RNA, 354 nt
Filed under: Macrodontia cervicornis
Lineage: Eukaryota; Metazoa; Arthropoda; Insecta; Coleoptera; Cerambycidae
Description: SSU rRNA
Rfam family: Eukaryotic small subunit ribosomal RNA
Source: RNAcentral
AGGAGUGGAGCCUGCGGCUUAAUUUGACUCAACACGGGAAACCUCACCAGGCCCGGACACCGGAAGGAUUGACAGAUUGAGAGCUCUUUCUUGAUUCGGUGGGUGGUGGUGCAUGGCCGUUCUUAGUUGGUGGAGCGAUUUGUCUGGUUAAUUCCGAUAACGAACGAGACUCUAGCCUGCUAACUAGGCGUAUUUCGACAUCCCAAAGGCUCGCCGGUUUGGGGUUUCGACUCCUUUCCGCGCGCGGUUUUUACUGUCGGCGUACAAACAAUUCUUCUUAGAGGGACAGGCGGCUUCUAGCCGCACGAGAUUGAGCAAUAACAGGUCUGUGAUGCCCUUAGAUGUUCUGGGCCG